GUUUGAAUGAUGACUUGGAUUGUCGGAUACCCCUUCACCCCCUUCAUGGGUGAGACAUAACAGUCUGACAAAC
This 73-nucleotide small nucleolar RNA is filed under the name Neotoma lepida (desert woodrat). RNAcentral's name for it is "Small nucleolar RNA SNORD101". It matches the Rfam family "Small nucleolar RNA SNORD101". From Rfam's summary of the family: snoRNA U101 is a member of the C/D class of snoRNA which contain the C (UGAUGA) and D (CUGA) box motifs and guide the 2'-O-methylation of rRNA and snRNAs. The precise target of this family is unknown. The record is from Rfam by way of RNAcentral. Lineage: Eukaryota; Metazoa; Chordata; Mammalia; Rodentia; Cricetidae.